This 458-nucleotide ribosomal RNA is filed under the name uncultured bacterium. RNAcentral's name for it is "SSU rRNA". It matches the Rfam family "Bacterial small subunit ribosomal RNA", at positions 26 to 518 of the family's 1533-position model. The record is from RNAcentral.
AGAAUCAACGCUGGCGGCGUGCCUAACACAUGCAAGUCGCACGAGAAAGGGGAGCAAUCCCUGAGUACAGUGGCGCACGGGUGAGUAACACGUGAAUAAUCUACCUCCGAGUGGGGAAUAACUGAGAGAAAUCUUAGCUAAUACCGCAUAAUACCCACGGGUCAAAGCAGCAAUGCGCUUGGAGAGGAGUUCGCGGCAGAUUAGUUAGUUGGCGGGGUAAUGGCCCACCAAGACGAUGAUCUGUAUCCGGCCUGAGAGGGCGCACGGACACACUGGAACUGAAACACGGUCCAGACUCCUACGGGAGGCAGCAGUGGGGAAUUUUGCGCAAUGGGGGAAACCCUGACGCAGCAACGCCGCGUGGAGGAUGAAGCCCCUUGGGUGUAAACUCCUUUCGAUCGGGAAGAUAAUGACGGUACCGAUAUAAGAAGCCCGGCUAACUUCGUGCCAGCAGCCGC